GAUGAACGCUGGCGGCGUGCCUAAUACAUGCAAGUCGAGCGAACAGACGAGGAGCUUGCUCCUCUGACGUUAGCGGCGGACGGGUGAGUAACACGUGGAUAACCUACCUAUAAGACUGGGAUAACUUCGGGAAACCGGAGCUAAUACCGGAUAAUAUAUUGAACCGCAUGGUUCAAUAGUGAAAGACGGUUUUGCUGUCACUUAUAGAUGGAUCCGCGCCGCAUUAGCUAGUUGGUAAGGUAACGGCUUACCAAGGCAACGAUGCAUAGCCGACCUGAGAGGGUGAUCGGCCACACUGGAACUGAGACACGGUCCAGACUCCUACGGGAGGCAGCAGUAGGGAAUCUUCCGCAAUGGGCGAAAGCUUGACGGAGCAACGCCGCGUGAGUGAUGAAGGUCUUCGGAUCGUAAAACUCUGUUAUUAGGGAAGAUCAAAUGUGUAAGUAACUAUGCACGUCUUGACGGUACCUAAUCAGAAAGCCACGGCUAACUACGUG
This 497-nucleotide ribosomal RNA is filed under the name uncultured bacterium. Its description in RNAcentral is "partial 16S ribosomal RNA". It matches the Rfam family "Bacterial small subunit ribosomal RNA", at positions 28 to 507 of the family's 1533-position model. The record is from RNAcentral.